Molecule: ribosomal RNA, 610 nt
Filed under: uncultured Anoxybacillus sp.
Lineage: Bacteria; Bacillati; Bacillota; Bacilli; Caryophanales; Anoxybacillaceae
Description: bacterial SSU rRNA
Rfam family: Bacterial small subunit ribosomal RNA
Source: RNAcentral
GCCGGGGAAUGCCUACGGGGAGGCAGCAGUAGGGAAUGCUUCCGCAAUGGACGAAAGUCUGACGGAGCAACGCCGCGUGAGCGAAGAAGGCCUUCGGGUCGUAAAGCUCUGUUGUUAGGGAAGAACAAGUAACGCAGUAACUGGCGUUACCUUGACGGUACCUAACGAGAAAGCCACGGCUAACUACGUGCCAGCAGCCGCGGUAAUACGUAGGUGGCAAGCGUUGUCCGGAAUUAUUGGGCGUAAAGCGCGCGCAGGCGGUUCCUUAAGUCUGAUGUGAAAGCCCACGGCUCAACCGUGGAGGGUCAUUGGAAACUGGGGGACUUGAGUGCAGAAGAGGAGAGCGGAAUUCCACGUGUAGCGGUGAAAUGCGUAGAGAUGUGGAGGAACACCAGUGGCGAAGGCGGCUCUCUGGUCUGUAACUGACGCUGAGGCGCGAAAGCGUGGGGAGCAAACAGGAUUAGAUACCCUGGUAGUCCACGCCGUAAACGAUGAGUGCUAAGUGUUAGAGGGUAUCCACCCUUUAGUGCUGUAGCUAACGCAUUAAGCACUCCGCCUGGGGAGUACGCUCGCAAGAGUGAAACUCAAAGGGAAUUGACGGGAAUCACUA